RNAcentral lists this transfer RNA (127 nucleotides) under Trichosporon asahii var. asahii CBS 2479. RNAcentral describes it as "tRNA-Thr". It matches the Rfam family "tRNA". Rfam says of the family: Transfer RNA (tRNA) molecules are approximately 80 nucleotides in length. Their secondary structure includes four short double-helical elements and three loops (D, anti-codon, and T loops). Further hydrogen bonds mediate the characteristic L-shaped molecular structure. tRNAs have two regions of fundamental functional importance: the anti-codon, which is responsible for specific mRNA codon recognition, and the 3' end, to which the tRNAs corresponding amino acid is attached (by aminoacyl-tRNA synthetases). tRNAs cope with the degeneracy of the genetic code in two manners: having more than one tRNA (with a specific anti-codon) for a particular amino acid; and 'wobble' base-pairing, i.e. permitting non-standard base-pairing at the 3rd anti-codon position. Lineage: Eukaryota; Fungi; Basidiomycota; Tremellomycetes; Trichosporonales; Trichosporonaceae. The record is from RNAcentral.
GCCUCUUUAGCACAGUGGUAGCUGCGUUCCUUUCGUAUCUUACGUAACCAUCGAUUCUCGGUGAUUCACGAUCGGUCGUACACAUCGUACUAGGGAAAGGUCGGCGGUUCGACUCCGUCAAGGGGCA